UCGAGAAUCUUCGGCAAUGGGCGAAAGCCUGACCGAGCGACGCCGCGUGCGGGAUGAAGGCCCUCGGGUUGUAAACCGCUGUCAGUAGGGAGCAAAUCUCUUGGGGUUAUCCCCUUGAGUUGAGCGAUCUUCAGAGGAAGUACGGGCUAAGUUCGUGCCAGCAGCCGCGGUAAGACGAACCGUACGAACGUUAUUCGGAAUCACUGGGCUUAAAGAGUCCGUAGGCGGCCGUGUAGGUGGGAUGUGAAAGCCCUCGUCUCAACCGAGGAAUUGCGUUCCAAACCACAUGGCUUGAGGAGGAUAGAGGUGAGCGGAACUGAUGGUGGAGCGGUGAAAUGCGUUGAUAUCAUCAGGAACACCAGAGGCGAAGGCGGCUCACUGGGUCCUUUCUGACGCUGAGGGACGAAAGCUAGGGGAGCAAACGGG
RNAcentral lists this ribosomal RNA (426 nucleotides) under uncultured bacterium. Its description in RNAcentral is "bacterial SSU rRNA". It matches the Rfam family "Bacterial small subunit ribosomal RNA", at positions 355 to 776 of the family's 1533-position model. The record is from RNAcentral.